AGUCUUUAAGUUCACACAUUAUUUGUUCAAAUGGGAUUAGUGGGAAUGUCUUGUAGCCGUUCCCAUUCUGUUAAACCUCAAUCUAGAACAUUUGAUUCUACAUCUAUGGAGUGGUUCAAAGAGACUAUAUCAAUCUAUUUGGUAUAUUUGGAUAUUAAUCCUCAUGUGUCAUAAUAAUUUUCAUUUUCUUCCUCAGGGAAAGAUAACUUCUGCCUCAUUCAUGUCAGCCUAAUUCCUGAUCUGCUUACAUGUCACUUAGCUCAGGUACACUGCCUCCUGUGUACUUCUUGUGUUAGGUGAUUUUUCAUUAGAAUCGUUUGGGGAAUUGCAUCAUUGCAUUUUAUCUUUCUGGAGUAUUAUUGUGUUGGCUCAUUGUAGCACUUUUAGGCAUUUUUAUUAGUUUUUAAAUGUGUUGGCAUGAACCUAUGUAAUCAUUAUCAUCUUUGUGGGGUGCGGCAUUAUGUUGGCGCUUUACUUGCAUAAGUUUUGCUACAAACUGCUGUUGAACUUGUCGUAUAAAACUUGGCAUUGUAUCUGUAGCUUUCAUAUCAUAGAAAUAUUUUGUGAACAAUUGCAUUUUCUCAGCUUUAGCCCUUGGAUUUGCUUGUGUUUUCUCCUAUCUUACUGGAUAUCCUUUUGAUUUCUUUGUUUUCUUGAUCUAAGCUUUGUCCUAAAUUGAUGGUAAAUACACCCUUUUGGUUGGUGACUUACAGCCAUUAUUGGAUAAUACAAAGAUGAAACUUUCACAAUUUUGUCACGUUGAGGUAAAUUUGAUUGCAAAAUUUGGUUUGUAUUCUUUUGAGUUAGUUUGGUCAUCUUUACUAAGGAUUGUGUUUAUCCUUCUGGUUCUUCAAAGGUUGCGAACAUCCUAAAUAUUCAUUAUGUUCCCAACAUUUGGCAUAUUCCUCUCUUACUUAGAAACCAAAAUGCGCAUCAUUCAAUUCUGAAAUAGCUCAAUUUGCUUAAUUUAGUUUUUGGUUCAACAUUUCAUCAUCCCUCUUUCUCUAAGUAUCAUCAGAUAACUAAGUUUGUUAUAAAUUUUACUUUGUUAUGGCUUAACUCUUUACUGCACAAUGCGGCUGGCCUAGGCAAUCAAUUUGGAUUGAGGUACUAAUUGCAGGAAGUUUUGAUCAGUUUUACUAAGAGCUAUAAAGUUCUGUUUCAGCAUUGCCACACCUCCAGAUUUAGAAGCUUGGACCAGGAGAGCAGAAAUAAUGAAGUGUUGUGAUAAGGUUAAGAAAUAUGAUAAGGUUAAUAACUCAUGGAGUGUUGUGAAGAGACUACCUGUGAGGGCGGACUCUUCCUAUGGUUGGGGGCUAGCAUUUAAAGCAUGCGGAAACAGUUUACUAGUAAUAGGAGCUGGAGAUCAUGGAGGGCAUGAUGAUGGAGUAAUUGUUCUGCAUUCUUGGAAUCCAGAUGAGGAAAACAGGGAUGGACAAGAGUGGAAUGUGCUUGCUGUCAAGGCACGGGCAGGUACUUUUGUGUAUAAUUGUGCGGUAAUGGGCUGUUAAUGAGAGUUGCCGCAUCUUUAGUGCAAACAUUGACAUCUGGAAGACCAAGAUAAAUGAUCAUCUGUUAUAAUUUUUAUUGUCUCAGUAUCAUUAAUUUUAUUGUUCUUUUUCCCAUUUUAUGAUUCAGAAGAAUAAUUGACCUCGAAUCAAUUUCUUAAAGUUAUCAACUGAUUGUGUUGAUCCCUCUAUUGCAAGCAUUAACCUCAUACCAAGUAAUGACUGGUUCCAUUUAUCUUGUACUUUGGCAUUGAA
This is an RNA transcript of Gossypium raimondii (Peruvian cotton), 1763 nucleotides long. RefSeq lists it as uncharacterized. Lineage: Eukaryota; Viridiplantae; Streptophyta; Magnoliopsida; Malvales; Malvaceae. The transcript has 2 exons. The record is from RefSeq and is a predicted model, not a curated record.